AAUGAACGCUGGCGGCAGGCCUAACACAUGCAAGUCGAGCGAAGUCUUCGGACUUAGCGGCGGACGGGUGAGUAACGCGUGGGAACAUGCCCUUUGCUGCGGAAUAGCCCCGGGAAACUGGGAGUAAUACCGAAUGUGCCCUUCGGGGGAAAGAUUUAUCGCCAAAGGAUCGGCCCGCGUUGGAUUAGGUAGUUGGUGGGGUAAUGGCCUACCAAGCCGACGAUCCAUAGCUGGUUUGAGAGGAUGAUCAGCCACACUGGGACUGAGACACGGCCCAGACUCCUACGGGAGGCAGCAGUGGGGAAUCUUAGACAAUGGGCGCAAGCCUGAUCUAGCCAUGCCGCGUGAUCGAUGAAGGCCUUAGGGUUGUAAAGAUCUUUCAGUGGGGAAGAUAAUGACGGUACCCACAGAAGAAGCCCCGGCUAACUCCGUGCCAGCCGCCGCCGUAAA
This 450-nucleotide ribosomal RNA is filed under the name uncultured bacterium. RNAcentral's name for it is "bacterial SSU rRNA". It matches the Rfam family "Bacterial small subunit ribosomal RNA", at positions 29 to 524 of the family's 1533-position model. The record is from RNAcentral.